Molecule: ribosomal RNA, 515 nt
Filed under: uncultured bacterium
Lineage: Bacteria
Description: partial 16S ribosomal RNA
Rfam family: Bacterial small subunit ribosomal RNA
Source: RNAcentral
GAUGAACGCUGGCGGCGUGCCUAAUACAUGCAAGUCGAGCGAAUGGAUUGAGAGCUUGCUCUUAUGAAGUUAGCGGCGGACGGGUGAGUAACACGUGGGUAACCUGCCCAUAAGACUGGGAUAACUCCGGGAAACCGGGGCUAAUACCGGAUAACAUUUUGAACCGCAUGGUUCGAAAUUGAAAGGCGGCUUCGGCUGUCACUUAUGGAUGGACCCGCGUCGCUUUAGCUAGUUGGUGAGGUAACGGCUCACCAAGGCAACGAUGCGUAGCCGACCUGGGAGGGUGAUCGGCCACACUGGGACUGAGACACGGCCCAGACGCCUACGGGAGGCAGCAGUAGGGAAUCUUCCGCAAUGGACGAAAGUCUGACGGAGCAACGCCGCGUGAGUGAUGAAGGCUUUCGGGUCGUAAAACUCUGUUGUUAGGGAAGAACAAGUGCUAGUUGAAUAAGCUGGCACCUUGACGGUACCUAACCAGAAAGCCACGGCUAACUACGUGCCAGCCGCCGCCGUAA